CCUACGGGAGGCAGCAGUAGGGAAUCUUCCGCAAUGGACGAUGUCUGACGGAGCAACGCCGCGUGAGCGAUGAAGGCCUUCGGGUCGUAAAGCUCUGUUGUCAGAGAAGAACAAGUACCGGAGUAACUGCCGGUACCUUGACGGUACCUGACCAGAAAGCCACGGCUAACUACGUGCCAGCAGCCGCGGUAAUACGUAGGUGGCAAGCGUUGUCCGGAAUUAUUGGGCGUAAAGCGCGCGCAGGCGGUUCCUUAAGUCUGAUGUGAAAGCCCCCGGCUCAACCGGGGAGGGUCAUUGGAAACUGGGGAACUUGAGUGCAGAAGAGGAGAGCGGAAUUCCACGUGUAGCGGUGAAAUGCGUAGAGAUGUGGAGGAACACCAGUGGCGAAGGCGGCUCUCUGGUCUGUAACUGACGCUGAGGCGCGAAAGCGUGGGGAGCGAACAGGAUUAGAUACCCUGGUAGUCCACGCCGUAAACGAUGAGUGCUAAGUGUUAGAGGGUUUCCGCCCUUUAGUGCUGCAGCAAACGCAUUAAGCACUCCGCCUGGGGAGUACGGCCGCAAGGCUGAAACUCAAAGGAAUUGACGG
Molecule: ribosomal RNA, 586 nt
Filed under: uncultured bacterium
Lineage: Bacteria
Description: bacterial SSU rRNA
Rfam family: Bacterial small subunit ribosomal RNA
Source: RNAcentral